AGAGGGAGGAGGCUCUCAGGGCAUUUGUGAUAAUAGCACUCCACUCUACUACUACAAAGUGCUCAGCCAACAUGUAUACUAAAUAGGGCUUAUUCUGUGCAGCUGGGGUUCAGUCACAAAACAAGUGCAAGCAGAAGGCAUCACACAGGUGUGUUUCACAAGCAUGGCUGGACCUUUCACUUGCUGAUCCAAACACCAGUAUCAAAGGAUUAGCAAAACAGGAAAUCCACAUGACACCAAAUUAGCUGCAUCUCAGCAAGAAGGCUAAAACAGGCAGUUGAGUCAGUGAUCUGCGAGCAGAGUGGAGCUAGAUUGUCUGGUGGGAUCUCCAGUCCUGCACCCUUCACCUUAAAGCCGCGAUCGAAAAGAUGAAGCCCCUCCUGUGCCUUCUGUCUUUAAUAACCAUUGAGCCCCUGAGGGGUUUCAAUAUCGACACCAACAGGAAGUGGAUGACAACUCACAGAGACCAUCUUUCUUGGCCCAAGGUCCUUCAGUACUCUGGCCUCAAAGCCUGGAUUUUGGCAACUUCCUCAGAAGUUAACAGCCAAAGCAGGAUGCUUGGCAGGCUGAAUAAGUGCACUCUUGCCAAAGAAGCGAUUGAGUGUAAGGAGAUUGGUCUGAGAGGUACAGUCCAGCUCAUUGUUCUUAAGUAGUUUCUUCAAGUAAAUUUUGAAUAGGAUGGGGGAGGAAGGAAUCUGACAAACACUAGGGUGCAACAUCACCGAGAUGAUGAGAGGGAGGCAGAGAGGGGUUCAUGAUACAUUAGGGUCUCCAGGUUUUCAUGGGGAAAAGAAAUCCAGAUACACGUUAGCAGGGAAAGGG
RNAcentral lists this long non-coding RNA (822 nucleotides) under Crocodylus porosus (Australian saltwater crocodile). RNAcentral's name for it is "lncRNA (ENSCPRG00005013134.1)". The record is from RNAcentral. Lineage: Eukaryota; Metazoa; Chordata; Crocodylia; Crocodylidae.